GACGAACGCUGGCGGCGUGCUUAACACAUGCAAGUCGAACGGAAAGGCCUGCUUUCCCUUGUGGAUUGCGGGUGCUCGAGUGGCGAACGGGUGAGUAACACGUGAGUGAUCUGCCCCCAACUUGGGUAUAAGCCUGGGAAACUGGGUCUAAUUCCCGAUAGGACUGCAGUGUGGUGCCUGUGGUGGAAAACGAUUUUCUAGUGGUUGGGGAUGAGCUCGCGGCCUAUCAGCUUGUUGGUGGGGUAAUGGCCUACCAAGGCGGCGACGGGUAGCCGGCCUGAGAGGGUGGACGGCCACAGUGGGACUGAGAUACGGCCCAGACUCCUACGGGAGGCAGCAGUGGGGAAUAUUGCACAAUGGGCGGAAGCCUGAUGCAGCGACGCCGCGUGGGGGAUGACGGCCUUCGGGUUGUAAACUCCUUUCGACCGCGAGGAAGCCACCUGGUUGGAAGGGUGGUGACGGUAGUGGUAGAAGAAGCACCGGCUAACUACGUG
RNAcentral lists this ribosomal RNA (494 nucleotides) under uncultured bacterium. Its description in RNAcentral is "partial 16S ribosomal RNA". It matches the Rfam family "Bacterial small subunit ribosomal RNA", at positions 28 to 507 of the family's 1533-position model. The record is from RNAcentral.